CGCCUUGCCAGCCCGCUCAGAAACUUAAAGGAAGUUGACGGGGCCCGCACAAGCAGCGGAGCGUGUGGUUUAAUUCGAUGAUACGCGAAGAACCUCACCCAGGUUUGACAUGCAUGUGGUACUGAUGUGAAAGCUGAGGGACCCUUCGGGGAGCAUGCACAGGUGUUGCACGGCCGUCGUCAGCUCGUGCCGUGAGGUGUUGGGUUAAGUCCCGCAACGAGCGCAACCCCUGUCGCCAGUUGUAUUUUUCUGGCGAGACUGCCGAGAAAACCUCGGAGGAAGGAGGGGACGAUGUCAGGUCAGCGUGGCCCUUACGCCUGGGGCUACACACACGCUACAAUGGGCAGUACAACGGGUCGCUAAGCCGCGAGGCGGAGCCAAUCCCAUCAAAGCUGUCCUCAGUUCGGAUUGCAGGCUGAAACCCGCCUGCAUGAAGCCGGAGUUGCUAGUAACCGCAGGUCAGCAUUACUGCAGUGAAUACGUUCCCGGGCCUU
RNAcentral lists this ribosomal RNA (494 nucleotides) under uncultured Chloroflexota bacterium. RNAcentral's name for it is "bacterial SSU rRNA". It matches the Rfam family "Bacterial small subunit ribosomal RNA", at positions 903 to 1382 of the family's 1533-position model. The record is from RNAcentral. Lineage: Bacteria; Bacillati; Chloroflexota.